Molecule: long non-coding RNA, 2237 nt
Organism: Malaclemys terrapin pileata
Lineage: Eukaryota; Metazoa; Chordata; Testudines; Emydidae
Exons: 2
Source: RefSeq, a predicted model, not a curated record
CCCUCCAGACGUGCGGGAGCGCUUCAAACCCGCCUCCCUUCCCCGGCAGGAGGCGAACCCCAGCAGCAGCAGCAGAAAACUCUGGUUCUCCCAGACAUCCCCACCACCCUUGAUGGCACAGAGUCCAACUCCGUUUGGGAGAAAAAAGAAACUGAAGAUUAAAGGGUUUGACACAAUUACACAGUUUUAGGGGCCUUGUACACCGAUCUGUAGAAAGCAGCAUCCAUUUCCAAAAGUACAUACAUAGAUCAUACAACAACUAUAGACUAAACCACGUUCAACCAUGUAUGUCUGUUUAAAAAAAAAAUCUAGAGUUACAAUUCCACAGGAAAAAAAUCCUCUACCAUCUGUACUGGAGUACUGCUCAAAUGACUAUGGCAUAAACAAAGCCAGCCAAAACAAGAAUCCUGGGAGUGACUCAUAGAUUUAAAGGUCAGAAGGGAACAUCAUGAUCAUCUAGUCUGAAUUCCCGCACAUCACAGGCCACAGAACCUCACCCACCCACUCCUGUAAUAGACCCCUCACCUCUGGCUGAGUUACUGAACUCCUCAAAUCAUGGUUUAAAGACUUCAAGUUACAGAGAAUUCACCAUUUACACAAGUUUAAACCUGCAAGGGACCCGUGCCCCAUGCUGCAGAGGAAGGUGAAAAAAACCCAGGGACAAUGAGAGGCGGUAAGAUCCUCUUCUGGGAGCAUAUGAUAGUAAUGCCAUUCUGGAAGAAGCUCAGAGAAAGCGGUCACUUCUGAUUACUAUCUAAUGUGAGUAAUUCUCAGGAAAGAUGAAUCCUUGCAGCCUGAAUCAUAGCAAAGGGGAGAAAAUAAGAUACUCCAAAAAUGGUAAGGUGGAAAGUCCUAGACACAGAGGAACCACCCAUGAUCCCAGUGUGUGUGGGACAUCACAGAGAGGCAUGAGAGUGACUCUGCAUGCUGCUCCUCACUGAUGGCAGAAAUGCUGGGUGGCAGGCUGGGAGAACCCACCCACCUUUUAGGGGAUGCACAGGGAGUCCAUCUGAUACGACAGCCAAUGAGCUGCUGGUGGCAGUGGGUUACUGAAUAGCUGCUCCUCACCAAGACACCAGGUUAGACGGGCAGAAAGAUUCCUCUGGCCCCUCUUAGAUGUCCUGCCUAAAGGCAGUUCAUUUGGGGGCCUUGUCUCCGUUGGGGAUUUGUCCCGAUUUCAGCCCCCAGGACGGCUAGCUUAAACAGGGUAAACCACUAUACUCUGCCAUUGGCACGGACGCAGCUUGGCCUGAGAUGCUUCACUGCUGCAAAAAGUGGCUCUGCCUGUCUCCACUAGGGAUUUGAAUGAGGAUGCCGAUACAUAGGUGGCUGGCCAUCAAAAGGUGUGGUCAGCACAAAUCCCCACUGCGGGCAAGGCCUUGGGCUUUGUACGUGUUGGGGGAAAGAGGGCAGCAUUUGGCCCUGAGAAAGAUUUUCCGUCCAAUUAAAGCCCUGAUUCAACAAGGUAUUUAAGCCUAUGCCUCACACAUGGGCAGUCCCAUGGAUUUCAAUCCUCCUGGCUUAGUACAGGGUCUCUAAAACUUCAAUGAGUCUGUUCAUACGUAAAGUUAGGCAUGUGCUUAAGCACCUUGCUGAUUUGGGGCCUAAAUACCAGUACAGCUUGAGGGAGUAUGGUGCUCAUUGGCUUAUAUAACAUUUAAGCAUGAGUUUUUUCCCUUACUGAGUGCCCAGAGAAACAGAGCAGUGUCCUUUUCUGUACAGCAUCGGGAUUAUCUGCCUCUUCCCUACUCUGAUUGUUUUUACAUUACAUUACCCAAUACAUUAUUCUGCUCCCUGGGUUUUUUUUUUUCCAAUAGAGCUCAAAUUUUUUAUUACAAUAUUCAGAUCUUUAAAUACAACAACUUCCAUUGUUAAGAAGUUCACAAGCGCCACAUAUAACGUACAAGAAUUUUAUUCAUACCAUAAUUCUGUCGCAUCAUCCAUAUCAAAUAUCACAAUAAUCUUUAAAAUGAAAUAGACUGUUCCCCUUACAUCAAAGGAAUUCUGCUGUUAAAUGGUUACAUGUCUUUUCAGAUUGUUUACAACAGAAUUGUAAUUCAAAUCGGAUUUUCAUCAUCUUUAAAAGUUCAAAGCAAAGUAUCUGUUUUGUAUGUGUGUAUAUUUAACUCUCAACAGUGAGAUUAAUACACUCAAUGUCUAAGUAAUGCUGAAAUGUUUCCUGCAUUUUAUGCCAAACGCUCACAGAUUUUUACCAAUACAGCAGCAGAAACGCAAGA